Molecule: ribosomal RNA, 433 nt
Filed under: uncultured bacterium
Lineage: Bacteria
Description: partial 16S ribosomal RNA
Rfam family: Bacterial small subunit ribosomal RNA
Source: RNAcentral
AACGAACGCUGGCGGCAGGCUUAACACAUGCAAGUCGAACGCACCUUUCGGGGUGAGUGGCACUCGGGUGAGUAACGCGUGGGAAUCUACCCUUCUCUACGGGAUAGUUCCGGUAAACUGGAAUUAAUACCGUAUACGUCCUGCGGGAGAAAGAUUUAUCGUGCAAGGAUGAGCCCGCGUUGGUUUAGCUGGUUGGUGGGGUAAAGGCCUACCAAGGCGACGAUCCAUAGCUGGUCUAAGAGGAUGAUCAGCCACAUUGGGACUGGGACACGGCCCAAACUCCUACGGGAGGCAGGAGUGGGGAAUAUUGGACAAUGGGCGCAAGCCUGAUCCAGCCAGGCCGCGUGAGUGAUGAAGGCCCUAGGGUUGUAAAGCUCUUUCAGUGGGGACGAUAAUGACGGUACCCACAGAAGAAGCCCCGGCUAACUUCGUG